This 443-nucleotide ribosomal RNA is filed under the name uncultured bacterium. RNAcentral's name for it is "partial 16S ribosomal RNA". It matches the Rfam family "Bacterial small subunit ribosomal RNA", at positions 338 to 795 of the family's 1533-position model. The record is from RNAcentral.
CCUACGGGAUGCAGCAGUGGGGAAUAUUGGGCAAUGGGCGCAAGCCUGACCCAGCAACGCCGCGUGAAGGAAGAAGGCUUUCGGGUUGUAAACUUCUUUUGUCAGGGACGAAGCAAGUGACGGUACCUGCCGAAUAAGCCACGGCUAACGACGUGCCAGCAGCCGCGGUAAUACGUCGGUGGCAAGCGUUAUCCGGAUUUACUGGGUGUAAAGGGCGUGUAGGCGGGGAAGCAAGUCAGAUGUGAAAACCACGGGCUCAACCUGUGGCCUGCAUUUGACACUGUUUUUCUUGAGUGCUGUAGAGGCAAUCGGAAUUCCGGGUGUAGCGGUGAAAUGCGUAGAUAUACGGAGGAACACCAGUGGCGAAGGCGGAUUGCUGGACAGUAACUGACGCUGAGGCGCGAAAGCGUGGGGAGCAAACAGGAUUAGAUACCCCUGUAGUC